CAACAGGGAUUGCCUCAGUAACGGCGAGUGAAGCGGCAAAAGCUCAGAUUUGAAAUCUGGCGUCUUCGGCGUCCGAGUUGUAAUCUGUAGAGGACUGCCUUUGGGUGGCCACCGGUCUAAGUCCCCCUGGAACGGGGUGUCACAGAGGGUGAGAAUCCCGUAUGUGACCGGGAAGGCGCCCCUAUACAUGGCUCCUUCGACGAGUCGAGUUGUUUGGGAAUGCAGCUCUAAAUGGGAGGUAAAUUCCUUCUAAAGCUAAAUACCGGCCAGAGACCGAUAGCGCACAAGUAGAGUGAUCGAAAGAUGAAAAGCACUUUGGAAAGAGAGUUAAAAAGCACGUGAAAUUGUUGAAAGGGAAGCGCUUGCAACCAGACUUGUUGGCGGUGUUCCGCCGGUCUUCUGACCGGUCUACUCACCGUCUGCAGGCCAGCAUCAUCUGGGGCCGCUGGAUAAAAGCGGAGGGAAUGUGGCUCCUCCGGGAGUGUUAUAGCCCUCUGUGUAAUACAGCGAGUCCCGGGUGAGGUCCGCGCUUCGGCUAGGAUGCUGGCGUAAUGGUCGUAAGCGGCCCGUCUUGAAACACGGACCAAGGAGUCUAACAUCUAUGCGAGUGUUCGGGUGUCAAACCCCUACGCGUAAUGAAAGUGAACGGAGGUGGGAACCUUUUAGGUGCACCAUCGACCGAUCCUGAUGUCUUCGGAUGGAUUUGAGUAAGAGCAUAGCUGUUGGGACCCGAAAGAUGGUGAACUAUGCCUGGAUAGGGUGAAGCCAGAGGAAACUCUGGUGGAGGCUCGCAGCGGUUCUGACGUGCAAAUCGAUCGUCCAAAUUUGGGUAUAGGGGCCGAAAGACUAAAUCGACA
Molecule: ribosomal RNA, 857 nt
Filed under: Leptoxyphium fumago
Lineage: Eukaryota; Fungi; Ascomycota; Dothideomycetes; Capnodiales; Capnodiaceae
Description: partial large subunit ribosomal RNA
Rfam family: Eukaryotic large subunit ribosomal RNA
Source: RNAcentral